UUUUUUUUUACCGAUUUCUUUCCCUCUGUUUUUUGAAAGUUCAGCUUUACAAAUACAAUUUUUACCAUGAUCUGCAUAUGCAUGGCAAUAUUCAGCACCUCUAAGUAUUGCUAGGGCUUCUCUGGCACUGUGGCUUUCUGGCAUAGGCUGGUGGAAGCAUAAGUGCUCCCGAAGCAGUGAACUUCAAUGACCUUGCUUUGUAGGCAUCUGACAAAAGAUGUACUACCAAAGCUUCAGAGUGAGCCUGUGUUAUAGUAAAGUACAUGUGUAACUCACGCAUACAGUCAAAGUUUAGGCUUAUAUUUUGACAUCUUAAAAAUUCUCUUAAGAUGACACUUUAAAUUGUUAAAUCUGUAAGCAAGAAAUUUAUUCUAGUGGUAGGAGUACUCAAAGACGUUUCUGUUGUGUUAUGUGUCCGCAGACAACAGAAGUGUAUCUGACUAGAAAGAAAACACUGAGCUUGGCUUUAAAGCUAUAUUAAACUUUCAUGAAGCUCACUGCUGACUGAACUAUGCUUGGUAUAUUGUGGUGCUGCCUGCAGUCUUUUCUGCUGCACAGCAAGAACAGCAUCAGAAGGGGUAGCUGUAUAGUUGGUCUUUGACGUGAGCUGUGCACAUUAUGAAAGCAUCAGCUGUCAGUACUUUCUUUUUGGUAAAUUAAGCAUAGCUUUGUGAGGCAGCAAGUGUUCCAUCUGUGAGACAGGCAUGUGAUACUGAACCAAGAGUGAGCCUGCUCCUUUAGAUGGUUAACAUUUUAGUCCUUUUACGGUAAGGUGCUUUCAUUCAUGGCACAAUUUUUAACUGCAGCUGUAACUAGUAAUUGGUACAACCCAUGUCCUUAGAGUUGCUGGGAUUUAUUCCAGCUGGAAUUUAAAUAUACCCCAACGUGCACACAAUGUGCUCUCGUCUGAUUUUGAAAGUACUUAGCAUACUGUGGCAGCAGGGCAUAAGGACUCCUGAGAGAAGUGGACUAUGUCUGCAAGAGUAGGCUGUUGCCAAUCCUGUGUUUUGCUGCAGGUAGAACAAACAGCACACUAAGCUAAAUGCUUGUCACUUUUGAAUUUCAUUUAAGGUGCCAUUAUGAAACCGGCAAGGCUGUUAUUUUAAUGCAAAUGUUAGAGAUGAGAACACAUUCAAGACCUGCUUGCUCAGUGCACGUUAGUUAAAUUAGUUGACUUUCCUUGAGGAUCCUGUAGUUGUUCCGAGGGCAGUCUCAGCUGUACGCAGCUCUGAUGUUACAGCUCUUCUAAGAGAGAUGGACCAGUCUGCUCAGACUUGACCAUUCUGUGAAUGUCUUUUUUAUAAGUGUACAAUUGCUUUCUAAUUUAUGCCAGGUGAGCAAAUGUUUGGUUUUUUUAAAAAAUUUUUCUGGCAGCAUGUUCCCCCACUGUGCUACUGUGUGGUAUCAGAUCCUACCACUCAAUGCUACUUUUGUAUUUUAUGUUUGGUAAUGAUGCUCCUCCUAUAAAGUGUUGUAUUACACGUAACCUGUAAGAUAUUUGUUGUUCUGUUCUCUUUGCAGUUGUUUUUCUCCUGCUUGUUCUGGAGAUGUACAUCUGGCUUAAGCAGCCAUUUGGACCAAAAUUUUUUUUCUUCCUGUAGAUCUUCCUGUCGUUCUUAGGUUUGAAUAGAGACAUGAGGAUUCUCAUUUGUUUGCUAAUAACGCUGAUUUUUUUCUCUUUUCUGCUGACUGCAAAGAUUUUCAAGUAGAUCUUUAUAUGACAGGCCUCUGCCACAGGAUUUUGUUAUUAUUGGUUUGUUCUAUCAAUUUGCAUGAGAAUUUGGAAAUAACAUGAGGCACUUUUCUGAUGUGAAAAUACCAUCACUGGCUUAUACUUUUGUUGUAUCUCAUAUUGGAUCAGUUCAUAGGAUAAGAAAGUCUUUCUUAUUUACCACAAAAUGAGUUUUCUUGGGUCAUAUCAAGUUGUAUGUCUCAUGCCGUAGCUUAGGGAUGACAGUUUUGAAGGCUAAAUAUUGUUAAGCCUGUAUGUUUCUGACUUCAAUUUAAAUGGCUAAAGGAAAAGCUUGAGAGAUGAUUUAGUAGCAGGGGGAACUGUACUACAGCAGUAGAACCUUACAAAACAGUUUACUGAUGUGCAAACCAUAAAGAAUCCAGUUAGUGCUCCUGGAGUGGUGGUUUGUGCUGAUGCUUGUAAACAUUUCUGUCACCAAAUUAAGCAGAUGUCAUGGAACAUGAACACUCAAUACACAUAAGGUGUCCUUCUAAUUAACCUUGUUUGUUUAUGCUGGGAGAAUAUGAUCUCUUGUUGUUGUGCAGGCUAGCACUGAAUACGACAAAGAACAUUGCUGCUUUUCUUCUUUGUGUGUCUAUGUAAAGCUUAUUUCUGAAUUUCCAUAAAUCAAGUAGUACUCUGCAUUUUACAAAGUUUCCUCUACUUGAUGCCAUAAUUUUAAGGGAAAAUAGUUUAUACUGGCAAAAGCUGCCACUUCACUGAAGAGCAUUAAAGCUGUUUUUACUUUAAAGAGUGAAACAUGUAUGGACUGGAGAUAAAUAGUUCUCCUAAAAAGGGAAUGUAUAUUUACACAUUCUUGGUGUAAUAGCAGAGGUUAUUUUUACACGUUUCAGAUUUACAUUCCAAUGUGAACACUGAGAAGCAGGAUGUUAAUUCAGUGGCUUUCAGGGGUUGGUAGAGCAAGCUGGGCUUAGACAAUAAAUGCUGUAUUAAUAGUUAGCAGUGACAAUUUCAUCAGCAUAGGAAUUGUGGGGUAUAAUUAACAUCAGUUGCUUUGACACUAUGCUUUUAAUGUAUGGUUUCAACCUUUCUUUCAGUAGCAGUUGGAGAAUGCACUGUGACAAAUUAUUGCUGAUACAAAGUAGGUCAACAGUAAAAUGGCUGACUUACCAUAAGUGAACAGAUCUAAAUUAUUGUUAACUUCAUGUCUAGAGGAAUUUUCUUAGUGGCUAAGGCUGUGCUCUCGUGUUUCUCAAGCGUGAACCUUGUGUACAGCUUUUCCUAACUCCUUAUUUCCUAACCGUUUGAUAUUUUUGUCUAAACAAGAAGGAGCAUUUCCUCCCAGCUGCUGGGAAGAAAUCCACGCAAGCACUAGUGCUGCAUGCCUGACAGCAGAUGUUUGCCCUCGUAGUAUUGCAAUUCUGUGACUGCAAAGCUGGCAAGGAGAAUUGACUCGCAACUAAGGAAAACAAGUAAAAUGCUGCAUCUUCAAGUUUCGUGUUUUCUUUGCUGAAAGUGACUGGUGACAACGUAUCAUGAAGGGAAAUAGGAUGAUACUGGAUGAGAAAAAUCCCAGGCUGAGAGAAUGUUGCUUAUGUUUUUUGCAGAGCAAAGUGAUUCCUGUGAUCAGCUGCACAGUGUCAUCAUGGCUUGCAAAAGUCUUCUAAUGUUUUCUUGAGAGGCAUAGCUUUUACCUUUUAGACAUCAGGAAAGAUAGAUACCUAUCGUAUCUUUUAGAUAUCUAGCUUUCAGAUUCUCUGGGGCACUGUAAAAUCCAGUGUUAUUGUUUUAUGUGCUGAUUAUGUAACUGAAUGAAAUGAUAAACGUUAGCAUCGUAAGGAUGCAAGGGAGGAGAACUUCAGUCUUCUUGGAGCAGCUUUGAAUGUAUGCAAAGAGCAGCAGUGUCUGGGAUGUCCAAUGACAGUGUCAGGGCUGGGGAUGCUGCCCAGCAUUCACAGUUGGGUUGCAGGCAGCAGCACUUACCUAAGGAGCUCUAACAUGGAGCUUGGGUACAUCUUCUAACUCACAGAUCAGCUUAAAGACAGAUUUCUAGUACCAAUGAUAUCAUCUGAUGACAUUGGCUGCAAUUAAGAGUUUCCAACAGUGUGCCCUUGCUUUCCUAUAUUCUACGAAGUUCAAUUAUUGCUUUUUUUAAUGUAAGAAUAUGUAAUAAUUGGUGGGUUUGGAGUUUUGCUGUGCACAAAUUAAUGAGUUUCUUGUAUGUUAAAAGGAAUAUUGAAAGAUAGUAUUUCUUCUCUGCACUGAAGUUUAAACAAAGUUUUAUUUGUAUGUAUAUGGGGUACAAAUAUAGAUUUCUUGUAUAACAUAUAUAUAUACACGCAUUUAAUUAUUAGUCUAUUUUUCAGUGGGUCAUCCUGAAUUCCCUGCUGGCUGUGAUUUAAUUCAAGUCACUGCAGGUAUUCUGAAGAUUGUAAUUUUGCAUAGGUGGGGGGCAAUUAUCCUCUAUUCACUUUUUAUGCCUUAAGACUCUGGUAUUAAGAGGAGCAUGUAUUCUUAUUUUUCUCUUGAAUUUUUCAGUAUGUGAAUUUGAAGCUUGACUCAAUUUACUACUCAGUUGAGUAGAUUUUCCUGGGUUUUCUGUGUUCUAAAGUAAAUUAUAGUUGUCUAGAGGAAUGUUUGCAACAUUUUAAUCAGUGUGAUACCGGGCUGACAGGAAAUAAAGCAAAGAUACUUUUUUACUUUGUACAUUCACACCAACAGUUUGUAACAUAGGAGAGAGGUUUCUCUGGUGUCUGGUGAGCAGGUGGCUGGACAAUCAACCAAAGGUCGUUUUGUUUGAGUCUAGCACGCUUCACUAGAUGGGUGCAACAGAACAGUUGCUUCUGUAUGGUAACAUUCACUUUCUAUAGUGUGUAAGUUAGGUAUUUGUUUACAGGUGUGAGAAACUCCAUAGCCUCACCACAAAAUAAAAUCAAGGUGCUUGUGUGGCACAUCUAACGCUAUAAAGUUAUACUAGUGAUGUUAACCAACUUUGCAGUUCCACCUCUAGAUGUAGCCUUUGUUAUAAUAAUUUCAUUUUUAACUCCUAUCUUCCCUCUUCCUUUGUCACUUGCAGCCUAUUGUCUAACUCCCUCGCUUGCAGGCAGCAUGAGGUCAUUCUGUUUGUGGAUCAAACUGUAGGGAAAAAAAAGGAGGCAGUGGAAAUGGCAAUAUCAGCCUGAAUCAAGAUGACAUUAAAGAAAAUGAUAAAUUUAGUUUGAUGUUUGUAAAGGACCCAUGUCUGUGUGAUGAAGGCACCAGACUUUAAAUUUUGAUGGUGUUUAUCAUUCUUUCUUUGUUGUCUGCAUACAUUUAACAUAGGUGAGGCUUUUGUAAUAUAAUUGAGGAAAAACGUAUCACAGAUAUGUAAGUAUUUUUUAGAAGGAACAGCUGAAUAAAUAUGUCUGCUUGAUUGUUUAUCCAAAUGUUCCUGUGACUAUCUUCAAAGCUUAUUGCUUACAGAAUUGACAAGCCCUGCAUCAUGAACAGCAGAACCCUGGCUCUGAAUACUGAAAUGAUAGUUUCUGCAAUUAUUCAGUAGAAAAAUACGUGCAUGUCACUCAAAUUUGAAAUCACUAUUCAUAGAGUUUACUGAAGUUGAAGUUAAUUCCAAACCAACCUGAUAUGUGUACAAAAUGUCACCUGAAUUAUUAAAGUGAUGUAACCCCAUGGUAAAUUCUGCAGAACAGAUAUGUGAUUUAUUUUUCUUGCCCCUUUUGUUAUACCCUUCUCUCUACAGGAACAUCCCUUUGCAAGCAUUUUACAAACAGUAAAAUGAAGAUUGGUGUUCCGAUGUUCUAAAAUAUAGGACCUCAGCCUCUGCGCAUUCCUAAUUUUACUGGGACUUGAAUUUUUGCUGUGGGAAUGUGAAAAACACGGGAAGCUGCUCUCUGCCAAGUUAUUUCCCCAAGGAUCUGCUUUACAUACUGACAAUCAAUGACCUGUCAGGUGUAGUUAUGCACCAUAGCAAUGAUAUGAGGUCAAUCAGAUGAAACCAAGACAUUUUGAAUUCAUCUGUUGAUUUUCUGUGCUGCAAGACCAGCAUGUGAAUCAUGUCAGCAACUGCACUCCAUGUUUCAAAAACAUGUAAAAACAUUACAGUUCUUCAAACAGAAGAAGCAGAGAUCUGGAUCCCCAGUGGAGUGCUGGAAAAAGAACACAAAGGUGGGAUGUAAGAUGAUACCCUCAUCCUUUUAUGGGGGAUAAUUUGUAGCUAACAUAUGAAGUUGGUACACAAUUUGAGGAAAUGAGCAUCCCACCCAUUUUUUCUUUGUGUGCUCUGUAGAAUUCAUAUCCUUCCAUUUUUGUUUUUUGUUUCCUUGAAUUGUGCCUCAUAACUUAUUGUCACUGCUCAUUAGCUGUUGGUGUGUUGGGAGGGUUGUCCAGACAGUGACCCUGCAUGGUAACAGCCGAGCAGUUCAGAAGAGAGUCAAAAUUCACGGUGACCUUUAACGAAAUAUAAAUCCGAAGAAAACUGCUUUUACUUUACCAUAUCUGAAACAAAGUGAGAACUAUUAUUAUCUUUAGUCUUUGCUGUCAUGGUAUUUAAAGAUACUCUGAAGCAGAGGAAAUACGUUUUCUGAUGGGACCCUACUAUUGUCCUGGUUUUGGUGAAUGGGAUACGUCAUUUAAACUCCUAUUUUCCUCUGACCAUCACAUUUAGUUCCUGGUUGUCCAGUUCUCAGCCAGGGCUGCUGCGUGUUUUGACAGUGAAUCCUGAGAGCUGCAGCUUGUUUGCACAUUCCCCUUUCCCCUGGAAGAGAAGGCCUGUAGGUAACCUGUGAAUGCAGUGCCAUUUGCAUUUUUUCUUUCUAAUUUUUCCUGUUUUCCCGAUAGCAGCAAGGAAGUACCAGAUCCAGUUGCCUUUCUCCUUCCUGCCACUCCAGAGCCUUGCUGUAGGAGCAGAUUGGGCUGCUCCAAACCAGCUGGCAGAGAAAAGCAUCCAUUUGACAGGCGGGCAGAGCGGCAAAGGGGAGCUGGAGGCUGGAGAGGACCGCGCUCUCCAGGGGAGAUGCAGGUUUUUGGCAAGCUGCAGCCUGCCCUCAGAGUGCACCUGCCCACAGUGAGGGGCUGAGGGGACAGCCUGCAGCAGGGCAGAAAGAGCUGGGGGCCACGUCCUCAGCUGCUGCCUGCUCCAGUGGGACAGUGAA
Non-coding RNA from Cyanistes caeruleus (blue tit), 6843 nucleotides. Lineage: Eukaryota; Metazoa; Chordata; Aves; Passeriformes; Paridae. The record is from RefSeq and is a predicted model, not a curated record.